RNAcentral lists this long non-coding RNA (361 nucleotides) under Elaeis guineensis (African oil palm). RNAcentral's name for it is "long non-coding RNA (EGUI_LNC048635)". Lineage: Eukaryota; Viridiplantae; Streptophyta; Magnoliopsida; Arecales; Arecaceae. The record is from RNAcentral.
GUUCCUUCAUGUAUCACAUACAAACUUUAGCAAUAUUUGUCGGUUUCAUGGUUGUAAGGUACUCCUUGUAAUUUUUCUUCCAGUGGCCCUCCUUGCCACAGUGAUAGCAAGUACCUUUGGUGGAGACCUUCUUCACCUUCUUCUUGGAGAUGCCAGUCUUAGAGUUCAUCUUUUUCUUAGAACCCUUCUUUGUCUUCUUCUUGCUGAUCUUAUCAACAAGAAGGACCUGAGCCUUUUCACCCUUGAAAUAGUUCUCUAUAUUUUCAACAUAUUCAGUAGUUCAAGCAAGCUUAUGUUUAGUUUGUUCAUAUGAUAAUUUAUGACAAACUGAGAAAAAAAGUCAGAGAGAGACUGUCGGAUC